RNAcentral lists this ribosomal RNA (497 nucleotides) under uncultured bacterium. RNAcentral's name for it is "partial 16S ribosomal RNA". It matches the Rfam family "Bacterial small subunit ribosomal RNA", at positions 28 to 507 of the family's 1533-position model. The record is from RNAcentral.
GACGAACGCUGGCGGCGUGCCUAAUACAUGCAAGUAGAACGCUGAAGCGAGGAGCUUGCUCUUGUUGGAUGAGUUGCGCACGGGUGAGUAACGCGGAGGUAACCUGCCUUGUAGGGGGGGAUAAGUAGUGGAAACGAUAGCUAAUACCGCAUAACAAUGGAUGAAACAUGUCGACUAUCUGAAAGGGGCCAUUGCUCCACGACAAGAUGGGCCUGCGUUGUAUUAGCUAGUAGGUGAGGUCAUGGCGCAGCUAGGCGACGGUACAUAGACGACCUGGGAGGGUGGUCGGCCACACUGGGACUGGGACACGGCCCAGAAUCCCUCCGGGGGCAGCAGUAGGGAAACUUCGGCAAUUGGGGCAACCCUGACCGAGCAACGCCGCGGGGGUGAAGAAGGGCUUCCGAUCGUAAAGGUCUGUUGUACGUGAAGAACGGCUGUGGCAGUGGAAAGUUCACACUGUGACGGUAGCGUAACAGAAAGGGCCGGCUAACUACGUG